RNAcentral lists this non-coding RNA (164 nucleotides) under bovine gut metagenome. The record is from RNAcentral.
CACCGUAGGUGCUUCGUAAAAGAAGGUAAAAGGGAACCGGGUGCAAAUCCCGGACAGCCCCCGCUACUGUCAGGUGCUUAUGCCGAGGCCAUUAUGUCAUUCCGUUAAGGGAGAAGGCGGCGUCGGAUACCGGGCCCGAGUCAGGAAACCUGCCUAUGAGUUUU